CUCCCGUUGAUCCUGCCGGACCCGACUGCUAUCGGAUUGAGAUUUAGCCAUGCGAGUCGAACGUCCCCCUGUUGCGGGGGGCGUGGCGUACGGCUCAGUAACACGUAGUCAACCUGCCCUGGAGACAAGGACAACCCCGGGAAACUGGGAUUAAUCCUUGAUAGGUCAUCUCAUCUGGAAGGAGAGAUGGCUUAAAGGGGUACGCGGGCUUCUUCCGCGAAUCUGCUCCAGGAUGGGACUGCGUCCGAUCAGGCUGUUGGCGGGGUAAUGGCCCACCAAACCUGUAACCGGUACGGGCCUUGAGAGAGGUGGCCCGGAGAUGGACACUGAGAGAAGGGUCCAGGUCCUACGGGGCGCAGCAGGCGCGAAACCUUCGCAAUGCGCGAAAGCGUGACGAGGUUAAUCCGAGUGACUCCCGCUGAGGGGGUCUUUUGUCAGCUGUAAAUAGGCAGGCGAAUAAGGGGAGGGCAAGCCUGGUGUCAGCCGCCGCGGUAAUACCAGCUCCUCGAGUGGUCGGGGCGAUUAUUGGGCCUAAAGCAUCCGUAGCCGGUUCCGUAGGUCCUCUGUUAAAUCCAACCGCUUAACGGUUGACCUGCAGAGGAUACCGCGGGACUAGGAGGCGGGAGAGGCGGACGGUACUCCGCGUGUAGGGGUAAAAUCCUUUGAUCCGCGGAAGACCACCAGUGGCGAAGGCGGUCCGCCAGAACGCGCUCGACGGUGAGGGAUGAAAGCUGGGGGAGCGAACCGGAUUAGAUACCCGGGUAGUCCCAGCCGUAAACGAUGCUAGCUAGAUGAUUCAUUCGCAAGUCGCGAAUGAAGUGUCGCAGGGAAGCCGUUAAGCUAGCCGCCUGGGGAGUACGGUCGCAAGACUGAAACUUAAAGGAAUUGGCGGGGGAGCA
RNAcentral lists this ribosomal RNA (899 nucleotides) under uncultured archaeon. Its description in RNAcentral is "bacterial SSU rRNA". It matches the Rfam family "Archaeal small subunit ribosomal RNA", at positions 1 to 878 of the family's 1478-position model. The record is from RNAcentral.